GUCUACGGCCAUACCAGCCUGAAUGCACCCAAUCUUGUCUGAUCUCUGAAACUAAGCAGGGUCAGGCCUGGUUAGUACUUGGGUGGGAGAACACUAAAAAGUAUCUUGUGGCCAGGCA
Ribosomal RNA from Otolemur garnettii (small-eared galago), 118 nucleotides. Lineage: Eukaryota; Metazoa; Chordata; Mammalia; Primates; Galagidae. The record is from Ensembl.